ACACAAACUCCGAAAAAAGAUUGUUGAAGAGAAGAAAGCCUUGGAAGAUGCCAUCACUGAACACAAUGCUGUUGCCGGGGAAACAGACAAACUCCCUCCUCCUAACGAGCUCUUGGCUGAGGACAACUACUCCUGGAAAUGGGAAUGUCAUGGUGAUAUGGUACAGAAAAGGUUUACGACAAGGUAAUGCUGCUGACAAGACUGAAAGAGGAAGCUGUUAUUCUGGUUCAUGAAGUCAAACAGCUCUGGGAGUACAUGAGGAGCGUGGCAGGAAAGAUUGAUCACCUGUCCUCCCAGCUUUCUGAAGGCAUCUCUGGACAAAGCAGUACUGAGGCGUUGACGGAGAGAGGACGUGAGGGGCUACUUUGUGUUCUAAAGAAACAACUCCACAAAGUGAAAGCGCAGCAGGCCAUGGCACGUAUUGCAUACCAAUGCAUUUUGGGACAGCAAACGGUGUCUUUGGAUGACCCUCUGACAGUAGCUCCUCUACUGAUGAAGAACUUUGACAGCAGUGAAUGACUUCAAGCUAUAAGGCUGCUUUAACACCUUGGAACAAAGUUCUGGUCCUGUUCACACUGACCUUUCACAAACUAACCAAGAUAAAUUACACCUCUACAGACUGACUAAAUAAACUAAUGAUUGUCAUCCUGCAUCAUCAGAAGCUCCAAUGGGUACAUCUAAUUCCAGUGACUGACAAUUAUCAGUUGUCGUCCAUAUGUAUUAUCAUGGUUACCAAAUGAUAUAUGCAUUGCCUUAGACCAAUCAGGGUAUGUGUUUCUGUACUGAUUUCACAUCAGAAGUUAAGCUUUUGCCAUCAUUGUAAAAUCACAUAUUUCUGCUAUCAUAAAAAUCCAUAAGAACCUGUCUCACAAUGCCUUGGUGAAACUUGAAUACAGUUGUCAUUGCUGCAAGAAUGUGCAUACCUGUCAUUGAUUGCUUUUGUACAGAUUUUUAUUUUAAUAAAA
Trematomus bernacchii (emerald rockcod) is the source of this 965-nucleotide long non-coding RNA. RefSeq lists it as uncharacterized. NCBI's taxonomy places the organism in Eukaryota, Metazoa, Chordata, Actinopteri, Perciformes, Nototheniidae. The transcript has 3 exons. The record is from RefSeq and is a predicted model, not a curated record.